GAUGAACGCUGGCGGCGCGCCUAACACAUGCAAGUCGAACGAUUAAAGCACCUUCGGGUGUGUAUAAAGUGGCGAACGGCUGAGUAACACCUGGGCAACCUGCCCCUCUCAUGGGGAAAGCCACGGGAAACCGUGGAAAAUACCCAAUACUUCUGGACUUCCGCAUGGAAGACUCGAGAAAGCUCCGGCGGAGAGGGAUGGGCCCGCGGCCUGUUAGCUUGUUGGUGGGGUAAUGGCCUACCAAGGCAAUGAUGGGUAGCUGGGUUGAGAGCCCGACCAGCCUGAUUGGUACUGAGACACGGCCCAGACUCCUACGGGAGGCAGCAGUGGGGAACCUGGCACAAUGGGGGAAAGCCUGAUGAAGAGAUGCCGCGUGCGGGAUGAAGGCCUUCGGGUUGUAAACCGCUUUAAGCAGGGACGAGGCGAAAGUGACGGUACCUGCAGAAGAAGCCCCGGCUAACUACGUG
Molecule: ribosomal RNA, 467 nt
Filed under: uncultured bacterium
Lineage: Bacteria
Description: partial 16S ribosomal RNA
Rfam family: Bacterial small subunit ribosomal RNA
Source: RNAcentral